UACGUAGGGGGCUAGCGUUGUCCGGAUUUAUUGGGCGUAAAGAGCGUGUAGGCGGCCAUGUAGGUCCGGUGUGAAAACUCGAGGCUUAACCUCGAGAUGUCAUCGGAAACCAUUUGGCUAGAGUCCGGAAGAGGAGAGUGGAAUUCCUGGUGUAGCGGUGAAAUGCGCAGAUAUCAGGAGGAACACCAGCGGCGAAGGCGCCGCUCUGGGCCGUAACUGACGCUGAGGAGCGAAAGCAUGGGUAGCAAACAGG
This 253-nucleotide ribosomal RNA is filed under the name uncultured bacterium. RNAcentral describes it as "partial 16S ribosomal RNA". It matches the Rfam family "Bacterial small subunit ribosomal RNA", at positions 524 to 776 of the family's 1533-position model. The record is from RNAcentral.